Molecule: ribosomal RNA, 497 nt
Filed under: uncultured bacterium
Lineage: Bacteria
Description: partial 16S ribosomal RNA
Rfam family: Bacterial small subunit ribosomal RNA
Source: RNAcentral
GAUGAACGCUGGCGGCGUGCCUAAUACAUGCAAGUCGAGCGAACAGACGAGAAGCUUGCUCCUCUGACGUUAGCGGCGGACGGGUGAGUAACACGUGGAUAACCUACCUAUAAGACUGGGAUAACUUCGGGAAACCGGAGCUAAUACCGGAUAAUAUUUUGAACCGCAUGGUUCAAAAGUGAAAGACGGUUUUGCUGUCACUUAUAGAUGGAUCCGCGCCGCAUUAGCUAGUUGGUAAGGUAACGGCCUAACAAGGGAACGAUGCAUAGCCGUCCAGAAGGGGUGAUCCGCCACAACGGCACUGAAACAGAGGUCCGACUCCUACGGGAAGCGGCAGUUGGGAAUCAUGCGGAAAGGGGGGAAGGCUGCAGGCGGAAAGGCGGCGGAAGUAUGGAAGUCCUCCGUUCGUAAAACUCUGUUUAUUGGGAAAAAAAAGAUUGGAAUUUCCAAUGGGAGUAUUGAUGGCACCUAAACGAAAAAGCACCGCAAACUUCCGG